RNAcentral lists this ribosomal RNA (379 nucleotides) under uncultured cyanobacterium. RNAcentral's name for it is "bacterial SSU rRNA". It matches the Rfam family "Bacterial small subunit ribosomal RNA", at positions 376 to 770 of the family's 1533-position model. Lineage: Bacteria; Bacillati; Cyanobacteriota. The record is from RNAcentral.
CGAAAGCCUGACGGAGCCAGACCGCGUGAGGGAAGAAAGUCUUUGGAUCGUAAACCUCUUUUCUCAGGGAAGAAGAUCUGACGGUACCUGAGGAAUCAGCCUCGGCUAACUCCGUGCCAGCAGCCGCGGUAAUACGGAGGAGGCAAGCGUUAUUCGGAAUUAUUGGGCGUAAAGCGUCCGCAGGGGGCUCAUCAAGUCUGCUGUUAAAGGCUGGAGCUCAACUCCGGUAGAGCAGUGGAAACUGGUGCGCUAGAGGGCGACAGGGGUAGAGGGAAUUCCCAGUGUAGCGGUGAAAUGCGUAGAGAUUGGGAAGAACACCGGUGGCGAAAGCGCUCUACUGGGUCGCACCUGACCCUCAGGGACGAAAGCUAAGGUAGCG